UCAAUUUAAGGUUUAUUUAAUUCUAAACUUUUUGUACUAUUAAAAUAAUAAGUUUUUAAAUUAAAAGAAUUAUAAUUAGAUUUGAAAUAUUGUUCUUCCACUUUAUUCGAUGUUUAUUGUUAUAGUUAGUUAUUCCGCAUUAAUCUGUUCUCAGUUACCCUAUAUAUACCCAUCCAAGUUACAAUUGUCCGAGUUAUUAAAAAA
RNAcentral lists this long non-coding RNA (204 nucleotides) under Lathyrus oleraceus (garden pea). Its description in RNAcentral is "Pisum sativum (pea) long non-coding RNA (PSAT_LNC000003)". Lineage: Eukaryota; Viridiplantae; Streptophyta; Magnoliopsida; Fabales; Fabaceae. The record is from RNAcentral.